AACUUUCAACAACGGAUCACUUGGCUCUCGCAUCGAUGAAGAACGCAGCGAAAUGCGAUAAGUAAUGUGAAUUGCAGAAUUCAGUGAAUCAUCGACUCUUUGAACGCAUCUUGCGCUUCUUGGUAUUCCAAGGAGCAUGCCUGUUUGAGUGUCAUUUGAGUUCUCAACCACACCCUUUGUGGUGUGGCUUUUGGAUAUGGGGGUUCUCUUUGCAGGCUUUGUGAAAACAAGGUCGGCUCCCCUGAAAUGUAUUAGUGGUAUCUGUGUGGACUACAGGUGUGAUAAAUCAAUCUAUGCCUUGUCUCUCACUAUGGCACUGCUUCUAAAGAGUUGGAAACAACGAUUGACAAAUUUGACCUCAAAUCAGGUAGGACUACCCGCUGAACUUAAGCAUAUCAAUAAGCGGAGGCU
This 411-nucleotide unclassified non-coding RNA is filed under the name uncultured Inocybe. Its description in RNAcentral is "sequence contains ITS2". The stretch from base 1 to 154 matches the Rfam family "5.8S ribosomal RNA". The record is from RNAcentral. Lineage: Eukaryota; Fungi; Basidiomycota; Agaricomycetes; Agaricales; Cortinariaceae.